RNAcentral lists this ribosomal RNA (95 nucleotides) under Acanthosepion pharaonis. The record is from RNAcentral. Lineage: Eukaryota; Metazoa; Mollusca; Cephalopoda; Sepiida; Sepiidae.
AAUCACCAGUUCUCAUCUGAUCACCAAAGUUAAGCAAUGUCAAGCUUGUUCUCUACUUAGAUGGGUGACCACUUGUAAAUACCAGGUGCUGUAAG